GGGUGCGUAGCUCAGGGGAUAGAGCACCAGAUUCCGGUUCUGGGUGUCAGAGGUUCGAUUCCUCUCGUACUCG
Molecule: transfer RNA, 73 nt
Filed under: Cyanobacterium sp. T60_A2020_053
Lineage: Bacteria; Bacillati; Cyanobacteriota; Cyanophyceae; Chroococcales; Geminocystaceae
Rfam family: tRNA
About the family: Transfer RNA (tRNA) molecules are approximately 80 nucleotides in length. Their secondary structure includes four short double-helical elements and three loops (D, anti-codon, and T loops).
Source: Rfam by way of RNAcentral